UAACACCCAUAAUAGUAGGAUCAUUUCUAUAGGUCACGUCCCUCUUUGACUCUUCAAAAGAGCCACUGAAUCCAACUUGGUUGAUGAGGUAGAUACCUUUGUACCCUAGAGUGAGAAAUUAAUUUUUAGCUUGUCCAUGAUCCUUAGUGGUCUGGUCAUCUGCAAUUUUAUAUUUUUGCCUUUUAUAAUUCUGAAUCCACUUUUUGUGGUUUUCAGAUGAAAAGGCGCGAUGAUCUUGACCCGUUAUAUGUACUUCUUCGUGAAGGGAUGUAAUCUGGGUGGGUACAAAUGGCUGUCUGACAAGU
Molecule: small nucleolar RNA, 305 nt
Filed under: Pachysolen tannophilus NRRL Y-2460
Lineage: Eukaryota; Fungi; Ascomycota; Pichiomycetes; Alaninales; Pachysolenaceae
Description: Fungal small nucleolar RNA U3
Rfam family: Fungal small nucleolar RNA U3
About the family: Small nucleolar RNAs (snoRNAs) are involved in the processing and modification of rRNA in the nucleolus.
Source: Rfam by way of RNAcentral